This 253-nucleotide ribosomal RNA is filed under the name uncultured bacterium. RNAcentral's name for it is "partial 16S ribosomal RNA". It matches the Rfam family "Bacterial small subunit ribosomal RNA", at positions 524 to 776 of the family's 1533-position model. The record is from RNAcentral.
UACGUAGGGUCCGAGCGUUGUCCGGAAUUAUUGGGCGUAAAGGGCACGUAGGCGGUUUGUCGCGUCGGGAGUGAAAACACCGGGCUUAACUCGGUGCUUGCUUUCGAUACGGGCAGACUGGAGGUAUGCAGGGGAGAACGGAAUUCCUGGUGUAGCGGUGAAAUGCGCAGAUAUCAGGAGGAACACCGGUGGCGAAGGCGGUUCUCUGGGCAUUACCUGACGCUGAGGAGCGAAAGUGUGGGGAGCGAACAGG